CUGAAAUUGAGAAAAUUUGCUGGCAUGUCUAAUGACUUUCUUCAGUACCAGCAAGUCUGCUUACUUUAUUUGGUGGGCAGUGGUACAGCCGGGCCCCAGGCCCAGCAGAUGAUCUGGUCGGGGAUGGAAACUGGCGCCCUCCUCACCGCUUCUUGCCCACACCGGUGGAGCUGGGUGGGGCCCCACUCAGAGGCCGGGCCACGCUAACCAAUCAGUACUGACAGAGGGCAUGACUGUGGGGAAUUUAAACCAAGGAGCAGUGGAGAGACAGUCCUCUCAAAUCCUUCACUGCAUCGGGUCAGAUCUACCCACUCUUUGCAGAUCCACCACUCCAAAGAAAAGAACUCUCUUAUUGCUGAUCAUCUUUCAUGUUUCUAUAUAGGUUCUGCCUCCUUCUGUGUGCACUGACAGCUGCUAUCCUGGCUCCAGCAGGAAAAAGAAGGAAGGAGAGAAAUUUUGCUGCUAUGACUGUGCUCUGUGUCCAGAUGGGAUGAUCUCCGACAGGAAGGGUAUUGAGAGACCAAUUGAUAUUAAUAAGCUUAGAUAUUUAUUAUUGAUAUAUUCACAGUGAAAAUGAGAUUCUUCACUUGCUCCAGUGGGUGAGAGGGUAGUGCCCAAAGAGAGAGGCUAACAUCCUUGUAAAAAUACUUCUUUUAAAUAAACCAUCAGGAGACCAACGAAUGCAUUUCGGCUCAAAAAAUAUAUCAGCAUAAUAAUAAAAAAGAACAAUCAACACUAUAUUAAACAUGGAUUAAUAUAGUGGAAGGCAGAAAUAAUAAGCCACCUAGGCAAAGGGAAUCUCUCCCCAAAACAGACAUUCAGGCCUACUUCAAUCAUGAAAAAGAAUAUACUGAUCAAAGUUCUCUUCCAUUCUACACUGCCUGGUGUGAUUAACUUUUUCAUCCUUUAUCAUUCACCACUCAAGUUGACCUCAGUAAUACAGAGAACACAGAUUCAUUGAAUAUCUAUGAAGAUAGUUUGUAUUAAAAUUCUUAAAAAUAUUUUUUAAAAGAAAACACAGGCAUUUAGACAGAGAACGGGAAAGACUGAAUGAGAGAAAGAGAUGAUACUAUUUUGUUGUCAGGUAAAAAGUGCAAGAAGUUGAAAGGAUGAAUUGUUACUAACUUCUAUAGUUAAUUAGACAUCUGGAAAUAUAACUAUUGUUGCAUUUUUUGUGUUAAAUGCUUAAAAUAUUAAAACACCUCUUCCAUUUUUCAGAUAUGGAUGCCUGUGUCAAAUGUCCAGAAGACCAGUAUCCCAACAAGGACCAAACUAAAUGCAUUGCAAAAUUGGUAACAUACCUCUCUUAUAAAGAAGAUUUGGG
Podarcis lilfordi (Lilford's wall lizard) is the source of this 1324-nucleotide non-coding RNA. The record is from the annotation of a GenBank genome assembly. NCBI's taxonomy places the organism in Eukaryota, Metazoa, Chordata, Lepidosauria, Squamata, Lacertidae.